GUCCCGCCGCUCCUCUGCGCGCCCCGAGCGCUGCCGGUGACAGCGCGCGCCCGGCACCGCCCGCGCGGGCGGAGAGCCCCGCCGGCUGCCGCCGCCGCCCUGAGCGCGGGGCCCUGAGCGCUGCUGGGUGAAUGUUCUGGUGUUUGUGCUGGGGCAGGAUAAAGGCCAGUCAGACACUGCACCUCACCUUCCAACAGCAUUUUAGUCAUUGUGGCUUUCACUUACACAGCCCGGUUGUCUGAAAUGUGUCAGGGGAAAAAUGCUGACGUGACCAUUCGUGUGCUAGGAAUUCAUUUAUGCACUCCUUGGGAGCACUGUACAGCACAGAGCCAUGGGGAACACACCCAUCAUAGAGAGAACAGUUGUAACAGCAGUGACACCAGUACUCCAUAUGGACAAGCAGUGGACUUCUGGGGUGACGGAGGACCUGCAGUGGAAGUAAAGGCAUGAAUGGCUGUCCUCAGGCCUGCAGGUUAAGAAGCAUCUAGAAGACAAACCAGACUUCCCAAGCCUCUGUUUGAGACCUGUGUAGCACACAGCCUACCAAAGAAUUCCUCUGGCCCGGUGUGCUGUGUGGGUGAAAGAAACGAGUUUGUCCUGCCUCGCUGCUCUCUUCUUGGCCUGAGAUCAGCACGUUGUUGAGCACGCAGCAGAUCGUGACCAGAGGCAAUGGCCUCUUUCAACAGCCCCGCAAUACCGUAAUACGUGCUGCGUUGAGAGCUGCUGACUUUAAAGGUGAGAAUGGUGAUGCACUGAGGAUUCCUGACUGGCAACUGCUCUCCGCAUGAGCAUACAGCAGGGCACCUCACACACGUUUGACAAAGAAAGUUUGCAAAUAAAGAACUAGCUACGGGGAAGCACAAAGGCAUUGCAGUAGAAGGGAGACCUGCAGACAUGGUUAGACAUGGCUACCAUAUCCAGGUUGCCUGAGAUUGGUUGUCUGUCCUUUUUUCCAACCAGAAUUGUUUCCCAGGGAGAUUCUGAGAACUGUGUAUGUUUAGGAUUUUGAAUGUGUAUGUCUAGGAUUCUUGGUAUCUAAUAAUCUCAUCAUGUUAUUGCAUACGUGCAGCAGUCUCAGCCUUGGAUGUCCCAUGUCCAGCAAUCCCAGAGACCUCAGAGCAAACACCAUAGGCCCAUAUUCUAUAGGCAGUGUAAUGCCAACAAAACUAAGGGAGUGCUCUACUACUCCUACAAAGUGUUGCAUGAACAGACCACACAAUUACUUUGAGCAUUCCCAGCAAGUAUAAGGCUUUCUGUAUUCACAUGAUGCAACUGGAGCACCUUUUUCCGUAUCAGAAAUAGAGUAGCCAAAGGGUGGGAUAAAGAGCCACCAGAGCAGUAUCCCAGCCAACUGGCUGCUGUACAGUGGCCACAAUCUCACUUUAACGACUAAUACACCUCUUCCUCCCUCCCUUGUGAUGUGCAGCCACCACCUUCCAGCUGCUGCAAACCAGUUUCCCCUGCUAAAUAGCAAUUGCCAAGAAUUUCCUCGGUAACAGCGGCAGCUUCUGAAGUGAAGCUUAAGAACAGAAAGGGAGUACUGGCAAUGGGCUUGCCCAGGUGAGCUGCAGAACAGGGAUUUAGCAACACAAGGCAAAAAAUAGCAGUGUAUUCCAGAUCAACACAUAUGCAUAGCAAAGGUAGGGAGGACAGGGAGGUAUCACUGUAGCAUUUGCAGGUAGCAGCAUAAUUCUGUUGGCUUCUGCUGAAUCAUCUUAUUUGUACUACUUAAGAGAAAAAUAGGGCUGUGCUUUUCACCUAUUCUUUAAUUACAACUUCUUGAUUAUAUCGAUGAUUUUCAACUUCAUGUCAAUUAAACCCAUUAAUUCCAUAAAUGAAGAGCAAAUUUGGAUAAAAUGGAUGGGAUUUGUUACAACAGGGUAGUAACUGGAAGGCAGCCCAAGAUAAGUAGUCAAAGUCUGCAGUAAUCUAUCCUCAGCUGAGUUGUACACACCUGUUCCAUACCCUUCUCCUUCUGGAAUUAACUUUCAGAGUGGCACUUCAAGUACGGUAAAAAAUUGUUGUCAGCUGACUGCUCCCACUAAAAUCUGCAAGAGGGAUGUGACCAUAAAAGAAAAGUACACAGUAACCUUUCCAAAGUAUGCCUGUAAUUUCAGAAUUGUGUUUUCCCAGAGCUGAGCCUCCUUCUGCCAAGAAUGAAGUCUUUAUCAUGGUUGCUGUAUUGAAAAGUGAGACAUAGGUGAGAAAGAAAAAUACUUUUAGAGCAUUUGAAGAUUAUUUCAGUUAUGGUUUUAAAUUUAUACAGGAUGUAACUAACAUUUCUGUCUGAAUUUACCCACUGUAGUAAGAAUAGAUCUUAAUGACUGUUUAAAGCCUGAGCAGUUUAUGAAAGAAAUUAUAUAACAUGGUGUUGUAGAAGCAGUGGAUUGAAUUCAGUGACCUAAAAAAUACUUACAUAUAUUUCUGUCUUAGGAAGUUCCUAGGUCUACCUGUCAGCAGCAGGAUAUAUUCCCAGGAAAUCAAUUAUACAUGUAAACAAAAAUAUCAUGGAGAUUAAAGAACAUAUGAAAGAGCAAGCACAAUUCUUCUUUCACAACACCAUGAAUCAAGAGUAACUUCACUGAAGCCAAUGAGUUACAGUGGUGUGAGUGAGAAAAGAACCAGCUCCAUUGUCUGAAAAUUACUUGGGCCACCCAUGGAGUCCAAUCAGAGGAACUGCAGGCAGAUAAUAUUGCAGCAUUUAAUUCAGAAAUCCCAAGUCUGAAUAGAGGAGACUGAAAAGAAAGGAUCUGAAUUUGGUUUUGGUUAAAAAAAAAAAAACAACUGGAAAACAGCAGGAAAAUGGUAAAUGGAAACAAAAAGAAAUUACUCCAUUUGUAAAAAAACCUCUCUCUCCAAAAAUAAAAAAAAAAUUGCAUAGACCAAAGAACAAAUCUGUAUGCUUUGGGCUAUUUUUAACACCCUGCAGGUAGCCAGUUAACAGUGGCGGAGCUGUAUGCUUCCCUGAAGGGAAAGUGUUAUCUUGGCUUUCCAAACAGCAGACACAUUUUGUGAGUUGAUGCACACUGUGCUACACCUACUCAGAGGAGUGCUGCAGAACGAGGGUCACACCUUUCCAGCACGGGUCACUGUAACAUAUCCUGCCACAUUUUUAGGUAGUAACGUACCUUCACUUUCCCUGCUUUAGUUUACUCUUUCUAAACACACGCUCCAUUUUUCAUCUGAGGUCAGUGACUUGAACUUUCCCAGCUCCUGUCACCUCCCACUUGAGAGCAUUUCUGCCAGUAGUACUUACUGUCCAUAAGAGAACAAAGGCUUGUUUCUGGAAAGCUGUCUGUUCACGAACUUCUUCCUGUCCCUUCUUCAGUUUUCUUCCCGUUUUUCUGUCUUCUCCAUUUGUGUCUCUCACCACACACUGUCUCUUUCAUCUAUUUACACCUCACCUGCAGCAUUACCCUCUGCAUUGGUAUUAUUGUCCUGAUUAUAACUGUCCAGAAGCUACUGAGGACCUGUAAAACAGCACAUUGUGAGCUUGCCAUGCUGCACUAGAAGCCCCUACACUGAUGCACCACGUCAGCAUUAUGGCAAGAUGUCAAACCACAUUAAGACAGAUGUGCUGAGUAUUAUUCAAAGAAUUUGCAGGAACACCAUCUCUCUUUCUUUUCCAGGUCACUGUCUCCCCGGUUUUUUUCCCCUCUUCUACUUUAUAUUCUAUUUUACUAUCACCUUUUCCUUUUCUGUCACUUUAUUUUCUUCCUCCCCACAGUUAUCCUCCCCUGGCUUCCUUCAGUGUCCACCUCACAUUCCUCCAUGCAUUUUCCUCCCUCUGAAGUGCCUGCACAAAGGAGUAUAAUGGAGGCAGUACUGCAGCUUUGUUACAGCUCUUUAGUAAACAAAGCUACUGGGUGCAUCUUUGGGAUCUGCAAAACAAAAAGGUCUAGAGAAAGUGUUUCAUUCCCAAAGGAUUAAGCCAGAGAGCUCUGAGAUUUUAGAAAACUUCUUGGUUCCCUAAUCUCCGACAUGAAGCACACCACAAACAGCAGGAGGAAUUCUGAAAUAACACCCAAUUCUUUUCUUCACAAGCACAUAUUUCCUUUUGCUUUGUGAGCUGAGGCUCUUAGCAACAAGAGAACAGGGUAGUGACUAGAAUUUGAUUAUGUCAGAACAGCAGAAAAUUUAAAAAUAUGUACUUUGUAAUGGCAUACAAUUGGAAAGAAUAAAAUUAGUGCCAAGCAGUGCUAAAACCAAACAAAAUGUUUCCCAAUAAUUCAACAUACAGAGGGUCAGAAAGCAAUCUGGGUUUUAACAUUCUGUCUGGUAAUCAAAAUCAGCAUAAUUCAAGUGCAGAACAAGUGCUUGUUGAUACAAGGUAUUUUGUUUUAUGUGAUAGCAUCAGAAUUUCAGGUAAAAAGACAGAGCACGUGCUUUGGAUGGCAUCGCUCAUCUGUAUGCUAAAGAUAGCUUCUAAGCCUCGUUUAGCUCAGCCUGAACUUUGGCACAACCACAGCAGCUGCACAGCGUGUCACUGUGCCUCCUUCAGCACACACCACAGCAGGAAAAGAAUGGUUGGUAAGGAUAUUUUAAUGGCAGAUGUGUUAGCCUCAACAGGUCAAGUAGCUUCUUCGGACAAUAUAAUUCCCUCUGAAUACUCUACCAAUUUUUUUCAGAUUUUUCCAAAAACUUUAUAUCAUGUUUAGUGAUUUUUUUAUCUUGUCUUGAUCUGUGAAAGCCUUGAGGAAACAAGGAAGGAAAAUUGCUUGAUGACACAAGGAAACAAUAAAAUCUGCUCCUUAUUCACUUUAUAUAUGUCUAAAUCCUGUUGAAAUCAAAUUUUAAAAACUGAAUAAGAAAGCAAGAAAUUGUUUUCCACAUAGUUCUCAAAAGCAGUAGUCAAUAGUAGGAAUUUGACUUCAAAAUUUAUAUUUCUUAAAUAUUAAAACUUUUAAAUUUCAUAUUUGGGGAUAGAUAUUAAAGUGGUGUCAUAUAUUGUUUCAAAAGUAAAUAUAAUUUAUGUCUUAACUUUGUCAGUUUGAGAGGUCCAGACUGUAUUAUUCAUUUUUCCCUUUAUUACUAAUAAUGAAUUCUAGCAAAGACCCCACUUUUAGCACAGCUACUUGUUAAUAUUAUGAUUAUUUUCUAAUUUUGCAUUGUCACUAUUACAGAUUCCUACCUAGGGUUUAACUGUUAGUCUCCACUGAUAUCAGAGGCUGUAGUGAUUCCCAUCCCAAGGCCUUGUUCUGUGUAUUAAUUCAUACAGACAUGUUCCUUUGUACAGUUCUAAUCAUAGGAAGGAUAAAAUCUUCUAUAGUGUUAUUUCAAAUCUAAGAUUUAAAGCAACAGUCCUGGUAGAAACAUACAAAAAGACAAGAAACUACAUUAAAUACAGCAGUGCUAAAGUACAGUAAGAAAGCUUGCCUUUCAAAUCAAGUGAAGAAUUUUUUUUAGGCUUCUACUUCCAAUGAUACUAUUCAACACCAUACCUUACUGAUUAGACAAAUACCAGAAAAAUAUUGACUACAAAACCCAAGAACACCUAAAAAUAAAGAAAAUACAAAAUUAAUCCUAAUUCUGUAUGUCAGAUAUAUAGAGAUAGGUAGAUAGGUAGAUAGAUAGGUAGAUAGAUAGGUAGAUAGGUAGAUAGGUAGAUAGGUAGAUAGAUAGAUAGAUAGAUAGAUAGAUAGAUAGAUAGAUAGAUAGAUAGAUAGAUAGAUAGAUUAAAAAAAGCUAAGGUGGAAGAGUUUCACCAUGAAAAUUAUCAUGCAAACAUGAUAAAUGGAUUUGAACAGUCAUUUUGUGAAUUGCACCAAAUAUAUUGUCUAACUGAAUAAAUUGCAGAAAAAUUGCAUUGUGAUAU
Molecule: long non-coding RNA, 5815 nt
Organism: Taeniopygia guttata (zebra finch)
Lineage: Eukaryota; Metazoa; Chordata; Aves; Passeriformes; Estrildidae
Source: RefSeq, a predicted model, not a curated record